This 325-nucleotide ribosomal RNA is filed under the name uncultured Cercozoa. RNAcentral describes it as "SSU rRNA". The stretch from base 51 to 325 matches the Rfam family "Eukaryotic small subunit ribosomal RNA", at positions 679 to 955 of the family's 1831-position model. Lineage: Eukaryota; Cercozoa. The record is from RNAcentral.
GAUUUCUGGUUAAGUAACGCUAGCCCGCCCUUGCCAGGGGUGUGCGCUGGUUAGUUGCUUGCCAUCUUUCUAGAAAGCCAGCAGCUGUCAUUCACUUGGCGGCUGUGACGCGAUCUAGAUCUUUUACUUUGAAAAAAUUAGAGUGUUUAAAGCAGGCUUACGCUAUGAAUACAUUAGCAUGGAAUAAUAAUAUAGGACUUUGGUUCUAUUUUGUUGGUUUCUAGGACUGAAGUAAUGAUUGAUAGGGAUAGUUGGGGGUGCUAGUAUUCAGCGGCCAGAGGUGAAAUUCUCGGAUUCGCUGAAGACUAACUUAUGCGAAAGCAUU